UAUGGUGGUGACAGGAGAAGACACACACAUGGGAAGGGAAAGGACUAGUCUGUACAUGAUUUAUGAUGAAAUAUUUGCUAAAACAAGAAUUUAUGCCUUUAUAUUUUGAGCAAAUUUUAUUCCAGUAGAACAACAUUGUCAAUAGGAGGUCCAACCAAGCUCUUAGCAGUUGAAAAACGAAAAAGUAAAGAACAAAGGGACCUUCGGAACUCAACAAAGCAACUUGAAGUGG
This 232-nucleotide unclassified non-coding RNA is filed under the name Hevea brasiliensis (rubber tree). Lineage: Eukaryota; Viridiplantae; Streptophyta; Magnoliopsida; Malpighiales; Euphorbiaceae. The record is from RNAcentral.